Zea mays is the source of this 2359-nucleotide long non-coding RNA. RefSeq lists it as uncharacterized. The transcript has 3 exons. The record is from RefSeq and is a predicted model, not a curated record. NCBI's taxonomy places the organism in Eukaryota, Viridiplantae, Streptophyta, Magnoliopsida, Poales, Poaceae.
UAGAAAAUCCUCCUCACUGCACGUCAUCAGCCCAUGCAGCUAUGUGGCCUCUAGAAGCCACACCAGGCCUCUCCCUUACGACCAGCUGCCAUUUUUUCUCAGUCGUCGCUCACUUUUAAGCCAACGAAGGUGCUUGAUCUCCCAGCUUCGAUCGUCGGUAGCUUACCUCUGCCUCUCACGUGCUCAACGUUCAUCACACAUCCGCCAUCGCCUCCAACUGCAAGCCACCAAGCCUCCUGCUCGCAUGGAUGCGCCCUCUGGUCCUCAUCCUGUUCUGGCACAGGCGCCCUCUCCCAGCUCGUGCCGGCCAAUCUCGACGUCGGGCCUCUGUUCGCUGGUGGUCAGCGCUCACUGGGAUCGGCCUCAACACCGUUUCACCUCCACCAAGCCUCGCCGGCGUGCUCUCCUAGCCGCGGUCGGAUCUGGCCUCCUGCUUUCCCUCCGGUACCCUCUCGUUUCCAGCUCGUGGUGCCUCUGCUCCUCUCGACGCCUAGGUAGCCAUGGCGUCUCCUCCCCUUCCCUUCCUCUGCCAUGGACGCGAGCUCCAAGAUUCUGCUCGUCCAGGCCCCUUCCCAGGUGCUCCCGCUGAGCCCCUGGCCGAGUUUCUUUCCAUGGCCGCCGCAGCACCUGUUUCCUGCACGCUGGUCGCCCCUGCCCCCAGCCAUGGUGCCGUCAGGCCACCCGUCUCCUACCUCCCAACGCCAGCCCUACUCCCAUGGCCGCGCCCUCUCCUCACUUGAAGUCAGCAACAACGCCUCGGUAGUGGUCGAACAGCACGUCGUCGACUCCGUGAUUUUUGGGCAGCCUGGUUGCAGUGUCGUUAAACCCCGUCCUCCUUCGAAGACGCGUGACACUUGUUAGGUAUCAAAUAGAAAGACUGAACCGAAACUAUCGCCAUGUUCGCGGACACCGCGUCAAGUUUAGUCGUGGUACGUUAAUUGAUCACGUGCUAUGGAAGACGAGUGGAAUUGAUCUCCAAGUGAUGCUGAUGGACGAAGCUAAAAUGGAUGAAUCAACCAAGUGUCAGGAUGGAAGAUGCUCACCAAGUGGUCGUCAAUUAACAACACUAACAUAGUGUUUAUCCCAGGCAAGCCCCGGUGCAUUUGCCACCUCCUUGUUGUUUUAAAACUUUUAUCACUUAUAUGCUGCAUUAGGUGAUAGGAGUUGAGUGAUGAAACAAUUGAUGCAUUGCCAUUCCUUGGAAUUUGAUUAUCUUCCUUGAUUCCUAUUUUAUAAAGAGAACUAAUGAGGCUUAGCCCUGCUUAGAAAAACUAAAAGUUGUUCUUUUAAAAAGAAUGUUGUGCAACACUGGAUAUGGGUUUUAUGAAAAAGGAACUUGCAAUAAUGAAGGCAUCACUCGCGAUGAUGAAUUCAUUAUUCGAGUAUUGUACCUCUGUCAGGUACAUGGUUUGGGUGUUAAAUAAUAAGAUGAGACCAGACGUUGAGCAGGAAAAGUCGCCCGUCUGUGUCGACUAAGGACCGUACCGAAAGUAGGCUUGCUGAUCUAGGACCCUUUAACUGGCCACAUGCCUCAUCAUGGGUAAGCUUUGCCUCGGUCGGACCAAUACCAGAACAGCUCGCACGCACUGGGAGUGGAGAGAUGGCGAGAGUAGCUUGUACCCUCCGUGGCAAGAGACUGGAAGGUGGGGUGCUGUACUCUCGGAAACAUGGCGGGCACCAUGCGAAAGUAACGUGUACCAACCAGGCCCAUGGCUGGACGGUGGAGUGCUGUGCUCUCGGGUCGCGUGAACCCGUUCUGGUCUUGAGAAACCCGGUGGCGAGUUGACAUAUGCAAGGGUUAAGUGCUACAUAUGUCGUGUGGUUGGAGAUCCUCAGCUGAGUAUUAAUCGAUUCGGAUCGCCGUUACUUCUCGGAUAUGAAGACUGGAUCACUGCCCUGCAUCGUAGAUAACAAGUGAAACUAAAGCUGCUAAAAUGAAGCUAGUAUAGGACAAGUGAAUGCUCUAGAUUAGGCAAAUCUAGAUUCAGGAAAAGUACUUAACUUGUGAAGUAAAAUUUUGGCAUAAGGAUCCACUACUAGUAAGCUCUUCUGCAAAAUGAGUCUUUGAAAUUUGAUAAGCUUUACCUUGAUUCCCAAUAAACCAGCAUACCCUUGAGAGUCUUUUCUUUAGUCGGGUAAGUCUUGCUGAGUAAUUGUGUACUCAGGGUUUUAUUCCCUGUUGUUUUUCAGGUUAUAAUUUUGUUCUGUUGUGGAUGGUGCUAAGUGCCGGUGGGCUCGGCCUUCUUAUAUAAGUAUAUCCCAUCUUUAGCUUCUUUAUUGAGGAUUGUCACUUAAGCUAGCAUGUAUUUUAAAACCUAUAAAUAUUUUAUACAUUUUAAAUUGUAAUUCUUUUGAAUCA